Molecule: ribosomal RNA, 436 nt
Filed under: uncultured bacterium
Lineage: Bacteria
Description: bacterial SSU rRNA
Rfam family: Bacterial small subunit ribosomal RNA
Source: RNAcentral
AACGCGAAGAACCUUACCUACACUUGACAUGCCUCUUGGGACUUUCAGAGAUGAUUGUUUUCGGUUCGGCCGGGGAGUGCACAGGUGCUGCAUGGCUGUCGUCAGCUCGUGUCGUGAGAUGUUGGGUUAAGUCCCGCAACGAGCGCAACCCUUAUCGUAUGUUGCCAGCAUUUAGUUGGGCACUCAUGCGAGACUGCCGGUGAUAAGCGGGAGGAAGGGGGGGAGGACGUCAAGUCAUCAUGGCCCUUACGUGUAGGGCUACAAACGUGCUACAAUGGUGGUUACAAUGGGCAGCAAAGUCGCGAGGGUGAGCUAAUCCCUAAAAGCCAUCUCAGUUCAGAUUGAACUCUGCAACUCGAGUACAUGAAGUUGGAAUCGCUAGUAAUCGUGAAUCAGCAUGUCACGGUGAAUACUUUCCCGGGUCUUGUACACACCG